Molecule: ribosomal RNA, 1486 nt
Filed under: uncultured organism
Description: SSU rRNA
Rfam family: Bacterial small subunit ribosomal RNA
Source: RNAcentral
ACGAACGCUGGCGGCGUGCCUAAUACAUGCAAGUCGAACGAACUCUGGUAUUGAUUGGUGCUUGCAUCAUGAUUUACAUUUGAGUGAGUGGCGAACUGGUGAGUAACACGUGGGAAACCUGCCCAGAAGCGGGGGAUAACACCUGGAAACAGAUGCUAAUACCGCAUAACAACUUGGACCGCAUGGUCCGAGUUUGAAAGAUGGCUUCGGCUAUCACUUUUGGAUGGUCCCGCGGCGUAUUAGCUAGAUGGUGGGGUAACGGCUCACCAUGGCAAUGAUACGUAGCCGACCUGAGAGGGUAAUCGGCCACAUUGGGACUGAGACACGGCCCAAACUCCUACGGGAGGCAGCAGUAGGGAAUCUUCCACAAUGGACGAGAGUCUGAUGGAGCAACGCCGCGUGAGUGAAGAAGGGUUUCGGCUCGUAAAACUCUGUUGUUAAAGAAGAACAUAUCUGAGAGUAACUGUUCAGGUAUUGACGGUAUUUAACCAGAAAGCCACGGCUAACUACGUGCCAGCAGCCGCGGUAAUACGUAGGUGGCAAGCGUUGUCCGGAUUUAUUGGGCGUAAAGCGAGCGCAGGCGGUUUUUUAAGUCUGAUGUGAAAGCCUUCGGCUCAACCGAAGAAGUGCAUCGGAAACUGGGAAACUUGAGUGCAGAAGAGGACAGUGGAACUCCAUGUGUAGCGGUGAAAUGCGUAGAUAUAUGGAAGAACACCAGUGGCGAAGGCGGCUGUCUGGUCUGUAACUGACGCUGAGGCUCGAAAGUAUGGGUAGCAAACAGGAUUAGAUACCCUGGUAGUCCAUACCGUAAACGAUGAAUGCUAAGUGUUGGAGGGUUUCCGCCCUUCAGUGCUGCAGCUAACGCAUUAAGCAUUCCGCCUGGGGAGUACGGCCGCAAGGCUGAAACUCAAAGGAAUUGACGGGGGCCCGCACAAGCGGUGGAGCAUGUGGUUUAAUUCGAAGCUACGCGAAGAACCUUACCAGGUCUUGACAUACUAUGCAAAUCUAAGAGAUUAGACGUUCCCUUCGGGGACAUGGAUACAGGUGGUGCAUGGUUGUCGUCAGCUCGUGUCGUGAGAUGUUGGGUUAAGUCCCGCAACGAGCGCAACCCUUAUUAUCAGUUGCCAGCAUUAAGUUGGGCACUCUGGUGAGACUGCCGGUGACAAACCGGAGGAAGGUGGGGAUGACGUCAAAUCAUCAUGCCCCUUAUGACCUGGGCUACACACGUGCUACAAUGGAUGGUACAACGAGUUGCGAACUCGCGAGAGUAAGCUAAUCUCUUAAAGCCAUUCUCAGUUCGGAUUGUAGGCUGCAACUCGCCUACAUGAAGUCGGAAUCGCUAGUAAUCGCGGAUCAGCAUGCCGCGGUGAAUACGUUCCCGGGCCUUGUACACACCGCCCGUCACACCAUGAGAGUUUGUAACACCCAAAGUCGGUGGGGUAACCUUUUAGGAACCAGCCGCCUAAGGUGGGACAGAUGAUUAGGG